GUGUCAGCCGCCGCGGUAAUACGUAGGGUGCAAGCGUUAUCCGGAAUUAUUGGGCGUAAAGAGCUCGUAGGCGGUUUGUCACGUCUGCUGUGAAAACUGGAGGCUCAACCUCCAGCCUGCAGUGGGUACGGGCAGACUAGAGUGCGGUAGGGGAGAUUGGAAUUCCUGGUGUAGCGGUGGAAUGCGCAGAUAUCAGGAGGAACACCGAUGGCGAAGGCAGAUCUCUGGGCCGUAACUGACGCUGAGGAGCGAAAGCAUGGGGAGCGAACAGGAUUAGAUACCCUGGUAGUCC
This 292-nucleotide ribosomal RNA is filed under the name uncultured bacterium. RNAcentral describes it as "partial 16S ribosomal RNA". It matches the Rfam family "Bacterial small subunit ribosomal RNA", at positions 505 to 796 of the family's 1533-position model. The record is from RNAcentral.